This 235-nucleotide ribosomal RNA is filed under the name uncultured bacterium. RNAcentral's name for it is "partial 16S ribosomal RNA". It matches the Rfam family "Bacterial small subunit ribosomal RNA", at positions 104 to 334 of the family's 1533-position model. The record is from RNAcentral.
CGGGACGGGGUGGAGUAAUGUCUGGGAAACGUCUCGAUGGAGGGGGAUAACUACUGGAAACGGUAGCUAAUACCGCAUAACGUCGCAAGACCAAAGAGGGGGACCUUAGGGCCUCUUGCCAUCGGAUGUGCCCAGAUGGGAUUAGCUAGUAGGUGGGGUAACGGCUCACCUAGGCGACGAUCCCUAGCUGGUCUGAGAGGAUGACCAGCCACACUGGAACUGAGACACGGUCCAG